This 93-nucleotide ribosomal RNA is filed under the name Escherichia coli. RNAcentral's name for it is "partial 16S ribosomal RNA". The stretch from base 1 to 81 matches the Rfam family "Bacterial small subunit ribosomal RNA", at positions 1453 to 1533 of the family's 1533-position model. Lineage: Bacteria; Pseudomonadati; Pseudomonadota; Gammaproteobacteria; Enterobacterales; Enterobacteriaceae. The record is from RNAcentral. RNAcentral also lists the same sequence under 4 other names.
CUUACCACUUUGUGAUUCAUGACUGGGGUGAAGUCGUAACAAGGUAACCGUAGGGGAACCUGCGGUUGGAUCACCUCCUUACCUUAAAGAAGC